Long non-coding RNA from Pogoniulus pusillus (Red-fronted tinkerbird), 1979 nucleotides. RefSeq lists it as uncharacterized. NCBI's taxonomy places the organism in Eukaryota, Metazoa, Chordata, Aves, Piciformes, Lybiidae. The record is from RefSeq and is a predicted model, not a curated record. The transcript has 2 exons.
CUGGUGGCCCCCCGGCUAUUUAGGACUAGGCUUGAUGAUUGCUCUAACAUCACCCACGGGUGCUGGCUGAGCUCCUCUCUGCUUAACUGCUGCUUUCUGCUCGCUUGUCAGUGUGAAAAAGGGCAGGACUCAAUCUGUGAAGCGUUUUGGGAAGCACUGAAGGAGCAUGGAGGGAAUGUCUGCGAGUCCCUGACAAGGAAAGUGGGACACAACUCCAAUCUCGUUGGCACUCCUUUGUGUCAGAGCGGCUCAAAUUCUGCCCUGUUCUGUAAUUAAUCUAGAACUGACUUUGUUCAGUACCAGGUGACAUCCUGACUGGGAAGCCAGCUCCUGCUUUAUCCCUGAUCAGCAUCUCCACCACACACACAUCCAUCCGCUUGUGCUCCAACAUAACAGCUACAGCUCCCUGGAAGGAAAAGCAGUGCAAGGAAAGAAAGAGAAGCCAGAGAGGCUGAACUCUGAAUGGGAAUUUCUGGCAGUUGCUACUGGGUGUGUGAGAGGGAAAGAGAGCAUUAGCAAGGCAGAGACUCUAGGUCUGGGCCUCCUAGCCCAGUUUUUCCCAGACCUACAGGUGAUGGGCUGCACAUAUGCAUGAGUGAUUCUGUCACAGAGGAAAAGGAACGGUUUGCUGCCCCAGCCCACUCUGUUCAGAUACCUCUUCUUGUUAGGUUUCUUGCAGGGUUCACUAUUUCCCUUUUUCUUUUCCCUAAAGGAAUAAUGCCCUGUUGUUAGCCUGCUCCUGAACACAUUCCAAGAUGGUGUCAGAUGAGUGCAGAUGCCAGAAGUUCUCCUCCCUUGCAUUGUGUAGCGUUCAUUGUCAAAUCACAGACAAUUACUUUACCUGCUAGUUGUCAACAUCAAAACAGACAGGAAUUCUUUACCUCCAAAACUGCUUACUCAGCACCAUCUUCUGCUGACUUUGCCCUCCUCUCAGCCUGUCUGGAAGGAAUGAAUGGGGUGGAAAGGAAGCAACAAGCUUUCUUUCAAGCUGUUGCUCUCAGGGCUGAGCUGAGAAGCUCUCUGGAAGGAUAUUCUUGCAGAACUGGAGCUCUGAACUUCUGCAGAGCAGCUCCAAGAGCCCAGCACCAAGGAAGACAGGUAGCCAUAGAAAAGAGUACACAACAUCUAUGGAGCAUAACUGAUCAGACACACCCUAGAGGAGAUACACCCUUCCUACCCUUGUAAGCCAGCAAAAUCUACAGCUUCAUCUCUGACCGAUAGCAUGAACCAUGCUGGAUGCUCAGCAUCUCACCACAUGUAAACCCAAGCAGAUCUUCUCAAGGCAGUGGAGCAAAGCCAGCCCAGCUCAGAUCUGCAAACCUCCACACAUGUGUGUGUCUGCCUGUAGGAGCCAUUUGAAGUUCUCUGCCUCCAGAACGUGCAUCGAAGACAUACUGCUCAGAAACAUUCACCCCACUCAGGAAUCAGAGAUCCUUUACAUCAAGAGCAACCUUUACUCGGUCCUCUUGCUUAAGUCAGGCCAGAAAAUGUCAUCAGCAGUUCCUCAGUGCAGUGCAACACACUGCCCCUGAACCUGGGUUUGCUUAUCUGAGCUCAGAUAUCUGUACUAAUAGCUACAAUUACUAUUUGGUGCAUUACGCUGUCUUACAAGCAGGUGUAAAUAGAAGAACCACUAUGCUGGCUGUAAAACAGCAGCCCACCCCCAGAAAAGUCCCUUGUAGGCUCACUACAUCUUUGAAACAUGAAAUCAUGCAAUCCUACUGAGAUUUAAACUGUCUCAGCACAGUGACCUGUCUUUCAACCAAAUACAAUCCAGUUCAAAAGAGCUGUCCUUCUCAUUUCUUAGUAACUAGAGGGUUCUCAGCAUGGUUUAUUGAAGACUCCCCAGCUUUGCACUCCUUGAGGACAGAUGCAGAAGAAGGAAGGAGUAAACCUGGGCUCAUUUCUCUGAGUAAAAUCACUGUUUUUCAGAGGAGGAUGUUACUGUGCCUCCCAGAAGGCACAUGGCUCAUAUGAUA